Molecule: ribosomal RNA, 826 nt
Filed under: uncultured bacterium
Lineage: Bacteria
Description: bacterial SSU rRNA
Rfam family: Bacterial small subunit ribosomal RNA
Source: RNAcentral
AGAGUUUGAUCCUGGCUCAGAACGAUUUCUGGUAGCGUGGAUUAGGCAUGCAAGUCGAACGGGAUCCGGCUGGUAGCAAUACUAGUUGGUGAGAGUGGCGGAUUGGGGAGGAACACGUGAGCAACCUGCCUUUGAGUGGGGGAAAACCGGUGGAAACGCCGGCUAAUACCGGAUGCGGCGCCGAACGGCAUCGUUCGAGCGCCAAAGGGGGCCGCAAGGCUCCCGCCCACCGAGGAGCUCGCGCAUCAUCAGCUUGUUGGCGGGGUAACGGCCCACCAAGGCUCACGAUUAGCUGGUCUGAGAGGAUGGCCAGCCGCACUGGGACUGAGAUACUGCCCAGACUCCUACGGGAGGCUGCAGUCGAGGAUCAUUUGCAAUGGGGGAAACCCUGACAAUGCGACGCUGCGUGGAGGAUGAAGGCCUUCGGGUUGUAAACUCCUGUCAUAAGGGAACAGGCGAUGUGACCUAAUACGUCACAAAGUUGAGUGUACUUUAAGAGGAAGCGACGGCUAACUCUGUGCCAGCAGCCGCGGUAAUACAGAGGUCGCGAGCGUUGUUCGGAUUUACUGGGCGUAAAGGGCGCGUAGGCGGCGAAGCGUGUCGGAUGUGAAAUCUCCGGGCCCAACCCGGAAAGUGCGUCCGAAACUGCUCCGCUCGAGGACGGAAGAGGGAAUCGGAAUACAGGGUGUAGCGGCGAAAUGCGUUGAUAUCCUGUAGAACACCGGAGGGGAAGGCGGAUUCCUGGUACGUAUCUGACGCUGAGGCGCGAAAGUCGGGGGAGCAAACAGGAUUAGAUACCCUGGUAGUCCCGACCUUAAACGGUGCA